AAUAGAGAGAGCGGCGUACGGGUGCGGAACACGUGUGCAACCUGCCUUUAUCAGGGGGAUAGCCUUUCGAAAGGAAGAUUAAUACCCCAUAAUAUAUUGAAUGGCAUCAUUUGAUAUUGAAAACUCCGGUGGAUAGAGAUGGGCACGCGCAAGAUUAGAUAGUUGGUAGGGUAACGGCCUACCAAGUCAGUGAUCUUUAGGGGGCCUGAGAGGGUGAUCCCCCACACUGGUACUGAGACACGGACCAGACUCCUACGGGAGGCAGCAGUGAGGAAUAUUGGACAAUGGGUGAGAGCCUGAUCCAGCCAUCCCGCGUGAAGGACGACGGCCCUAUGGGUUGUAAACUUCUUUUGUAUAGGGAUAAACCUUUCCACGUGUGGAAAGCUGAAGGUACUAUACGAAUAAGCACCGGCUAACUCCGUGCCAGCAGCCGCGGUAAUACGGAGGGUGCAAGCGUUAUCCGGAUUUAUUGGGUUUAAAGGGUCCGUAGGCGGAUCUGUAAGUCAGUGGUGAAAUCUCAUAGCUUAACUAUGAAACUGCCAUCGAUACUGCAGGUCUUGAGUAAAGUAGAAGUGGCUGGAAUAAGUAGUGUAGCGGUGAAAUGCAUAGAUAUUACUUUUUUUGGGUCUUCGGAUUCAGAGACUAAGCGAAAGUGAUAAGUUAGCCACCUGGGGAGUACGUUCGCAAGAAUGAAACUCAAAGGAAUUGACGGGGGCCCGCACAAGCGGUGGAUUAUGUGGUUUAAUUCGAUGAUACGCGAGGAACCUUACCAAGGCUUAAAUGGGAAUUGACAGGUUUAGAAAUAGACUUUUCUUCGGACAAUUUUCAAGGUGCUGCAUGGUUGUCGUCAGCUCGUGCCGUGAGGUGUUAGGUUAAGUCCUGCAACGAGCGCAACCCCUGUCACUAGUUGCCAUCAUUCAGUUGGGGACUCUAGUGAGACUGCCUACGCAAGUAGAGAGGAAGGUGGGGAUGACGUCAAAUCAUCACGGCCCUUACGCCUUGGGCCACACACGUAAUACAAUGGCCGGUACAGAGGGCAGCUACCUAGCGAUAGGAUGCGAAUCUCGAAAGCCGGUCUCAGUUCGGAUUGGAGUCUGCAACUCGACUCUAUGAAGCUGGAAUCGCUAGUAAUCGCAUAUCAGCCAUGAUGCGGUGAAUACGUUCCCGGGCCUUGUACACACCGCCCGUCAAGCCAUGGAAGUUUGGGGUACCUGAAGUCGGUGACCGUAACAGGAGCUGCCUAGGGUAAAACAAGUAACUAGGGCUAAGUCGUAACAAGGUAACCAAGG
Molecule: ribosomal RNA, 1289 nt
Filed under: uncultured bacterium
Lineage: Bacteria
Description: bacterial SSU rRNA
Rfam family: Bacterial small subunit ribosomal RNA
Source: RNAcentral